UACGUAGGGUGCAAGCGUUAAUCGGAAUUACUGGGCGUAAAGCGUGCGCAGGCGGUUUUGUAAGUUUGUCGUGAAAUCCCCGGGCUCAACCUGGGAAUUGCGAUGGAGACUGCAAGGCUAGAAUCUGGCAGAGGGGGGUAGAAUUCCACGUGUGAGCAGUGAAAUGCAUAGAGAUGGUGGAGGAACACCGAUGGCGAAGGCAGCCCCCUGGGUCAAGAUUGACGCUCA
RNAcentral lists this ribosomal RNA (228 nucleotides) under uncultured bacterium. RNAcentral's name for it is "partial 16S ribosomal RNA". It matches the Rfam family "Bacterial small subunit ribosomal RNA", at positions 524 to 749 of the family's 1533-position model. The record is from RNAcentral.